GACGAACGCUGGCGGCGUGCUUAACACAUGCAAGUCGAACGGAAGGGCCUGCUUUUGUGGGGUGCUCGAGUGGCGAACGGGUGAGUAACACGUGAGUAACCUGCCCUUGACUUUGGGAUAACUUCAGGAAACUGGGGCUAAUACCGGAUAGGAGCUCCUGCUGCAUGGUGGGGGUUGGAAAGUUUCGGCGGUUGGGGAUGGACUCGCGGCUUAUCAGCUUGUUGGUGGGGUAGUGGCUUACCAAGGCUUUGACGGGUAGCCGGCCUGAGAGGGUGACCGGCCACAUUGGGACUGAGAUACGGCCCAGACUCCUACGGGAGGCAGCAGUGGGGAAUAUUGCACAAUGGGCGGAAGCCUGAUGCAGCAACGCCGCGUGCGGGAUGACGGCCUUCGGGUUGUAAACCGCUUUCGCCUGUGACGAAGCGUGAGUGACGGUAAUGGGUAAAGAAGCACCGGCUAACUACGUG
RNAcentral lists this ribosomal RNA (467 nucleotides) under uncultured bacterium. Its description in RNAcentral is "partial 16S ribosomal RNA". It matches the Rfam family "Bacterial small subunit ribosomal RNA", at positions 28 to 507 of the family's 1533-position model. The record is from RNAcentral.